Molecule: ribosomal RNA, 252 nt
Filed under: uncultured microorganism
Description: partial small subunit ribosomal RNA
Rfam family: Bacterial small subunit ribosomal RNA
Source: RNAcentral
UACGUAGGUGGCAAGCGUUGUCCGGAAUUAUUGGGCGUAAAGGGAGCGCAGGUGGGCGUGUAAGUCUUUCUUAAAAGUGCGGGGCUCAACCCCGUGAUGGGAAAGAAACUAUGUGCCUUGAGUGCAGGAGAGGAAAGCGGAAUUCCUAGUGUAGCGGUGAAAUGCGUAGAUAUUAGGAGGAACACCAGUGGCGAAGGCGGCUUUCUGGACUGUAACUGACACUGAGGCUCGAAGGCCAGGGGAGCGAACGGG